GGGAAAUUGGUAAGGGUUCACUAUCCACUGCAGUUAAAAGGGCAUGCACGUCUAACUCUUAGAAAGAUUACAAAAAAAUAACAGUAAGGACAAUUUAUAAACUAGGACUUAACAGCACUAAUAAAACUGUAGCUAUUAUAAUCUUUUUUUUUUUUUUUUCCUUUGCUACAAGAAUUGGCAUCUCACUCCUUCUGUAAGAAAUUAUUAUCCUUUGAUCACAGUAAAAAGCUCCAGCAUGACACAUUCCCCAUCUUCUACAGCAUAAGCUUGUUAAUGCUCGUCACUACUGUAUGUAAGACUUCUGUGACUUUUUUUACUGCUUGGAUUCAAAGUGCAUAGCUUAAUGUUAUAAUUUCACUUGCUUCAAAAGGGUUUCCCUCAUGACUCCUCCUGUAGGCACCAACAAAAUGUUAUUUUCACAGGCUGUCCAACCCAGGAAUUUAACAUCAGAUUUUGGAACAUUAUUUCUAGCUAGAGGUAGUAUGUUUAUAUCUGCUUUUCGUUCUCUGCAACCUGCCUUAUCUGCUAAUGACCUCCAAAGAACAGCAUUAACCACAAUUUAUCUAUGGAUAGAAAAGAACGUACUUGUGAAUAAAACAGAUUCCAUCUUACUCUACCAGAGAAUAUGAUGGGUAAGUGUAGGU
RNAcentral lists this long non-coding RNA (644 nucleotides) under Coturnix japonica (Japanese quail). RNAcentral's name for it is "lncRNA (ENSCJPG00005014897.1)". Lineage: Eukaryota; Metazoa; Chordata; Aves; Galliformes; Phasianidae. The record is from RNAcentral.